Molecule: ribosomal RNA, 301 nt
Filed under: uncultured bacterium
Lineage: Bacteria
Description: partial 16S ribosomal RNA
Rfam family: Bacterial small subunit ribosomal RNA
Source: RNAcentral
CAGUGCCGCGGGAAUACGUAGGGUGCGAGCGUUAAUCGGAAUUACUGGGCGUAAAGCGUGCGCAGGCGGUUAUAUAAGACAGAUGUGAAAUCCCCGGGCUCAACCUGGGACCUGCAUUUGUGACUGUAUAGCUAGAGUACGGUAGAGGGGGAUGGAAUUCCGCGUGUAGCAGUGAAAUGCGUAGAUAUGCGGAGGAACACCGAUGGCGAAGGCAAUCCCCUGGACCUGUACUGACGCUCAUGCACGAAAGCUAGGGGAGCAGACAGGAUUAGAUACCCCUGUAGUCCCUGUCUCUUAUACA